Mytilus californianus (California mussel) is the source of this 981-nucleotide long non-coding RNA. RefSeq lists it as uncharacterized. The record is from RefSeq and is a predicted model, not a curated record. The transcript is spliced from 5 exons. NCBI's taxonomy places the organism in Eukaryota, Metazoa, Mollusca, Bivalvia, Mytilida, Mytilidae.
AGGACACAAUAAUAACAGGAACUGUUCCUGUUGCAGUAUACAAUUAAAUGGAAUCCCUCAUAAGACACUUCCGGUAAUAAAAUCAGACCUGUGAAUGUAAUGGAGAUCAAUAUAAUUUCGGCAAUUGUUUUUCAUUACAUUUGAAUUUAACUUUUCCAUUAUCUGAUUAACAACAACGCGUCCAAUUACAAAAUUACCAACGCGGAGGACGGGUUUUGGAUUGAAUGGAGAUUAUUCUAUACAUACAAACGUUGUUCGUUCUAAACCAAUAAUUUUCAGAAAACCGACACUGUCGAGAGGAUCUCCAAGAAAUACUAGACAGGAAACAGGAUAUACGAUAUACACGUAUUCAAUGGAUAACUCUUAUGAGACGAAGACAAGUUCUGGAACUAUUGCAGCAGUUGUAGUGCCCUUUGCAGUUAUCAUCUCCUGCUGUCUGUCUUGCUGUCGAUACUACGUGAGGAACGAAAAUGCAAAGAAACUAAAAAAUAUCAGACGUAUUCAACAAUCAAGAUCCUUACAACAAACCAACGAACACUUACAGUAUCGUAUUAUUGGUUUGUACCGUGAGAAUGGGAAUUCAGCUGCCUUUAUUGCAUAUCCAAAGACGCAGGAUGGUCAUCGAAUAGGUGGGGAAAGGCUUGACAAUUUUACCUCAGAUAAUGACACUCGAAUUAACUUACCAGACGAAACAACAUAUACUCCAACUAAUAAUCCACCAGCAUACGAAGAUAUUAUAAACCGAAAUGCAGCUGCCAUUGUUUCCUUUAAUUCAAGGACACACAAAGUAGUUGACGAGGAAAGGCUCGCCAUUUCAAACGAUUCAACAUCUAUACCCACAGUCAAUCCGCCAGCAUACGAAGAUGUUAUAUAGGAAUGACGGGCGCAUGCACUUGUAUUUCAUUACGAUUUUACAUACGGUGUCUGCUCAUUUGUUUUAUGUCUGAGUCAUUACCUUGAAUGAAAUUAACUUUCAAAUUA